UCAGGAUGAACGCUGGCGGCGUGCUUAACACAUGCAAGUCGAACGAUGAUGCUUCCAGCUUGCUGGGAGCGGAUUAGUGGCGAACGGGUGAGUAUCACGUGAGCAACCUGCCCUUGACUUCGGGAUAAGCCCGGGAAACUGGGUCUAAUACCGGAUAUGACCAUCGCCCGCAUGGGUGGUGGUGGAAAGCUUUAUGCGGUCUUGGAUGGGCUCGCGGCCUAUCAGCUAGACGGUGAGGUAGUGGCUCACCGUGGCUUUGACGGGUAGCCGGCCUGAGAGGGUGACCGGCCACACUGGGACUGAGACACGGCCCAGACUCCUACGGGAGGCAGCAGUGGGGAAUAUUGCACAAUGGGCGAAAGCCUGAUGCAGCGACGCCGCGUGCGGGAUGACGGCCUUCGGGUUGUAAACCGCUUUCAGCAGGGAAGAAGCU
RNAcentral lists this ribosomal RNA (433 nucleotides) under Nesterenkonia sp. K1-252. Its description in RNAcentral is "bacterial SSU rRNA". It matches the Rfam family "Bacterial small subunit ribosomal RNA", at positions 24 to 452 of the family's 1533-position model. Lineage: Bacteria; Bacillati; Actinomycetota; Actinomycetes; Micrococcales; Micrococcaceae. The record is from RNAcentral.